GGCAGCCUGGCUAAGCGGCGAAUGGUUUUGAAACUGGGGCCUCGUGCAUUCAGAGUAGCUGCAUCAGUGUGUGCGUCUGCCAGUGGUCCAUGAGGCCUCCAGGUGUGCGUGUGCAGGCCUGCAGGGAGGGCUCCAGGUGUGCAGGCCUGUGGGGAGGGCUCCAGGUGUGCAGGCCUGUGGGGAGGGCUCCAGGUGUGCAGGCCUGCAGGGAGGGCUCCAGGUGUGCAGGCCUGUGGGGAGGAUUCCAGGUGUGCAGGCCUGUGGGGAGGGCUCCAGGUGUGUGUGUGCAGGCCUGCAGGGAGGGCUCCAGGUGUGCAGGCCUGUGGGGAGGGCUCCAGGUGUGCGUGUGGCAGGCCUGCAGGGAGGGCUCCAGGUGUGCAGGCCUGCAGGGAGGGCUCCAGGUGUGCAGGCCUGUGGGGAGGGCUCCAGGUGUGCAGGCCUGCAGGGAGGGCUCCAGGUGUGCAGGCCUGCAGGAGGGCUCCAGGUGUGCAGGCCUGUGGGGAGGGCUCCAGGUGUGCAGGCCUGUGGGGAGGCCUCCAGGUAUGCGUGUGUAGGCCUGUGGGGAGGGCUCCAGGUGUGCAGGCCUGUGGGGAGGAUUCCAGGUGUGCAGGCCUGCUGCUGUUCCUUCUUGGUAUUCUUGGUUCUAUCUUGAUAUUGCCUGCUUCAUUAAUUUAAACCAUUUUGUUGGAAAUGUAAUAGGAUUUUAUUGUGUUUAAUUAAUUAAUUAAUUAAUUAAUUAGAAUAUCUCUUAUAGGGUGAUGGUGGCACACGCCUUUAAUCCCAGCACUUGGGAGGCAGAGGCAGAGGCAGGCAAAUUUCUGAGUUAGAGGCCAGGGUGGUCUACACAGAGAAACCCUAUCUUGAAAAAACCGAAAAAUGAAAAACUUAAAAAAAAAAACAACAAAAAUUAGAAUAUCUCUUGUAGCCUAGGCUGCCCUCAACCUCUCUAUGCAGCCAAGGAUAGCAUUGAGUUUCAGAUCCUCCAUCCUCCACCUCCCAAGUGCUAAGAUUACAGGUAUAUGACUCCAUGUGUGGUUUAUGCUGAAGAUCAAACUGGAGGGCUUUGUGCGUGCUAGGUAGGCAGUCUGCCCACCGAGCCGCAUUCCCAGCCUUGAAACUAGAGUUUUAUGUAUUUAAUUUUUAGUUCCUAGGCUUAAGGACUUGCUUUAGUUGUAGUGGUUGCUCAGUCAAUACAGUCUUUUAUUAUGUUGAUGCUGGGAGUUAAAUGUAGGGCAUUGUCCACACCUAACAAGUCCACUUCCCGGGUUUUGUUGUGGCUAGUUGCUCUGUUUAU
Long non-coding RNA from Apodemus sylvaticus (European woodmouse), 1294 nucleotides. RefSeq lists it as uncharacterized. The record is from RefSeq and is a predicted model, not a curated record. Lineage: Eukaryota; Metazoa; Chordata; Mammalia; Rodentia; Muridae. The transcript has 3 exons.